This 420-nucleotide ribosomal RNA is filed under the name uncultured bacterium. RNAcentral's name for it is "bacterial SSU rRNA". It matches the Rfam family "Bacterial small subunit ribosomal RNA", at positions 355 to 767 of the family's 1533-position model. The record is from RNAcentral.
UGGGGAAUUUUGGACAAUGGGGGCAACCCUGAUCCAGCCAUCCCGCGUGUGCGAUGAAGGCCUUCGGGUUGUAAAGCACUUUUGGCAGGGAAGAAACAGCCUGGGCUAAUAUCCCGGGCGACUGACGGUACCUGCAGAAUAAGCACCGGCUAACUACGCGCCAGCAGCCGCGGUAAUACGUAGGGUGCGAGCGUUAAUAGGAAUUACUGGGCGUAAAGCGUGCGCAGGCGGUUUUGUAAGACAGAGGUGAAAUCCCCGGGCUCAACCUGGGAACUGCCUUGGUGACUGCAAGGCUUGAGUGCGGCAGAGGGGGAUGGAAUUCCGCGUGUAGCAGUGAAAUGCGUAGAUAUGCGGAGGAACACCGAUGACGAAGGCAAUCCCCUGGGCCUGCACUGACGCUCAUGCACGAAAGCGUGGGGA